This 342-nucleotide ribosomal RNA is filed under the name uncultured bacterium. RNAcentral's name for it is "bacterial SSU rRNA". It matches the Rfam family "Bacterial small subunit ribosomal RNA", at positions 28 to 334 of the family's 1533-position model. The record is from RNAcentral.
GAUGAACGCCGGCGGUGUGCCUAAUACAUGCAAGUCGUACGCACUGGCCCAACUGAUUGAUGGUGCUUGCACCUGAUUGACGAUGGAUCACCAGUGAGUGGCGGACGGGUGAGUAACACGUAGGUAACCUGCCCCGGAGCGGGGGAUAACAUUUGGAAACAGAUGCUAAUACCGCAUAACAACAAAAGCCACAUGGCUUUGUUUGAAAGAUGGCUUUGGCUAUCACUCUGGGAUGGACCUGCGGUGCAUUAGCUAGUUGGUAAGGUAACGGCUUACCAAGGCGAUGAUGCAUAGCCGAGUUGAGAGACUGAUCGGCCACAAUGGAACUGAGACACGGUCCAU